This 1097-nucleotide long non-coding RNA is filed under the name Scleropages formosus (Asian bonytongue). Its description in RNAcentral is "lncRNA (ENSSFOG00015033325.1)". The record is from RNAcentral. Lineage: Eukaryota; Metazoa; Chordata; Actinopteri; Osteoglossiformes; Osteoglossidae.
GUUGUAUUAUACAAUUGCUCUAAUAAAUAAUGCAAUAAUAAUAAGCUGAUCAUAUAAUGAAUAUGUUCAUUGAAGAAUACAUUCCUUUAGCAGUGUAGGCUUUUUACGGUGGCGCACAGACAGCUUGUUGUACGUGAGGGUGAAGAAGGGAGUUUUUUUCUUUUGGGUCAAUAAGAUUAAGUCUAAAGGAUGAUGUGAGCAUGAGCAGUGAGCAGAUCAUUAUCCACUUAUACCCCCAUCAGACUCCUAUUUCUUUGGACUGUUUAGCGUUUCCUUGAAUGGCGACAUUGUGGUCUCCCUUUCACAGGGGGGUUGAGAGAAAGCACGGCACGCUGCACCCCUGGAGGGCAUCCUGUCUGAGUCUUGAAGCAGCAGAUCAGAGAGCACUUCAGGAAGCCAGAUGGACUCUAAGGGCAGACUCUCCAGACACACCGCCGUCUGCUAGGCAUUACGACGAGAGCCAGGAGCAGGAAGGAACCAGAAAUCUGCACGUCUCCAGAAGGGGCUUGUGGCUUUGCACGGUGAGAGCGAAAGACGUUUAUUGAAGCGGAUGUGAGAGGAAAACAAGAGGCGUCCGGCCCGCCUGUGACGGCUCAGUUUGUUCCGUUGGCCGCUUGCUCUCGGCCCCCUGGAAAAGUGCCUCCGCUCACCCCGGUUUGCCUUUCAGAAAUGCUCACAGAUCCCGAGCUCCGUCAGAGUUUGCGCCAGCCUGCCAAUCUACAGCUCUGGGCCGCCCUUCUCCGGGCUGCCACGUUUAAGCUGGACCGAGCCGCACAGAACCAGCUGGACAGAUCCCUUAAUUCAUCUGGGAGGAAAAUGGCUUUCGAAAAUGUGUGCAAAAACAAGCCAUUCCCAGAAUGAAUUAUCGCAGCAUUGAGGGCUGCUGUUAUUUUUCAGGUUCUUACAAAGACGGAGCAUGUUUAGAUACAUUUAUUUCCCGUGCAAAUUAUGUUACAUUUGAAGUCACUGGCUAUUACGCCUUUUCCUUUCUAGUUCGUCUGCUAUUGUAGAAAAAAAAAAAAGAAUCUCAAGGAGAUAUGUAUUGUGCUGGAUAAGGCUAUGGAUUUGUAAUCUUAAUAAAGACGAUUUGGAUUCCA